Long non-coding RNA from Sycon ciliatum, 3478 nucleotides. RefSeq lists it as uncharacterized. Lineage: Eukaryota; Metazoa; Porifera; Calcarea; Leucosolenida; Sycettidae. The record is from RefSeq and is a predicted model, not a curated record. The transcript has 2 exons.
UGUCCUGGCAGAAAACCUUCGUACAGCCUGGCCGAUGAUGACACAGCUGCUCAUCGAUGAUAGGGGUGGGCAAUUGCAACAGGAGAAGAUAACCGACGAUGACGUCGCUGCGUUUGUGCAUGCUGUCAAUGCACAUCCUUUGCUCCAAGUGCUUACGUUGUUAACCAACACAUCGGGACAGUCUCCUACACGGGCCUGCCUCCGUCUCCUGAGGAGGUCAUCGUACAAGACUACGCUGGUGUGCAAAGUCAGACAUCAGAACUAGGUCGACUGACGGAGACAAAACAUGCAAGUAACAGUAGUUAUGGCUGCUCCUCAAGAGGAUGCUGAUGAAGCAUCCAUUUCACAGGAAAGCGGACCUUCUACGCGUAUGUCAAGCUGCCCGAAUCAAUCUGGACUAGAACCUCAUUAUAGCAUUGGCACUACUGCGUUGACACACUCGUUUGACAUCCCGGUACACUGGGACAUUGCAGGGGUGUGCCGGGCUCAUGACGUCAUGGUGUUGUCCACGAGAUGCACAGCGUUCAAAUCAUUGUAGAACGAUUUCAACGGUCGCAGAAACGUGGAACCAGCGCAACCCAACUCAGCGCCCCAAAGCCUUUGUACUACAGUGAAACAUUGUCAGUUGUUUGAGCAACCGCCCCGCCGGGUGCAACCAAAAGAGGAGUUAACAGACGAGAGGUCUUUAUGACAAAGUCCCAAUAGCUCUGCUUUGAAGUACGAAUUUAGUACAGACGAAGUAAGCAUGAGUUAUCACACCUCGCUCAAGUGCAUGCAGCACACCCUGCACUGCCAACUGUCGUUUCCCUUGAGUGCAUACAUGGAUGCACUCCCUUCUACAUGUGAGCGCACAUCAUCCCUAUUGCGGUCGAGCAUGUCAGUCUAGACAGAACUGGUGUGGCCUCUGUGUUGAGGUCAGAUACGGGACGUGGUACACUAAUAGUCCGUGAGCCAAAACUCAAAAUCACAAGUGCCGUUGCACUCUCGGAUGGACAAAUCGCCGCUUACAGUGUUGGUCAAGGACAUCACAAAGGAUACGUUUUCGCUUGUUGGACGUUCCAGAACCGAUCCAGAGACCUUCGCGAGGGCUUCUUUUCUCGACCAAAUUCCACCGUGAGAACGAAUAUUUUUACGCGAGUGGUGAGGUGUGCGUCGUAUGAGCAAGCGCAAAACACGAGUUCGCGUAGAGUGAGGAAAAAUAAUUUAUUUUUAGAAGAUGACGACGUUGACGACAAUAUCGACUUGGGAUAUUGUGAUCACUUUAUUGAAGUUUAUUCCUUUCGUGUACAUUGAUGUUGUUUUGACAACAAUGGAAGAAGAGGAAGACGUUUCUAGUGGCAGCGAGGUGCUGGAUGAGGCAGCUGACGGCAACGAAGUGGCAAAUGACAGCCCAGCGGAGUAAUAUUGCUGGAAUUUUGUGUCUGUGUCACAGCGCCCAAUUUAGUAAAAACGAGAAGCCUGCAGUGAGUAAUAUCGAGACUACAAGUUGGUGUCGCAUCGUCAGCGCUGCUCGAGAGAAGGACGACCAUAUCUGGGCUUUUCUCUGCCAGCACAAGAGCUCAGGGAGGAGUAAAUGGUGUGGCUGGUAUCAUGAAAAGUGCUACACCAAUUGCACCCAUGUGAUAGCAAUUGCAAACCUGGAGAAGACCAGUGCCUCUGAUUUUGCUUUGUCUAUACUUGCUGACAGUGAUGUGCAUGUAGUAGUGAACCCAGAGCCACAUCCUAAGGCCAGUAAGGGGCUACCUACCAGGAGCUUAGUGGUUGAUACGAACAACGAAUGCCAUACCGGUGAAAGCAGAGCACGGUGUAAACACAACACGGAGAACUGGUCCACCCAGAGUUUCCGGAAGGGAAUGUUUUGUUGCAGGCAGCACUGGAGAGGGCAAGACGACAAGUAGCGAGGGCGAAACCAGCGCUGCUGGAGGUCCAAGCCAGAGCACCUGGCUGCUUUGCGGGCAACAUACUACUGUAUACCAUUAGCUGUGUAUGUGUGUGUGCGCGUGCAUGUGUGCGCGUGUUUGUGUGUGUGGGUGCGUGCAUGUGUGUGUGCGUGUGCAUGCGCGUGCAUGUGUGUGUGCGCGCGCGUGCAUAUGUGUGUGCGAGUGUGCAUGUGUGUGCGAGCGUGCAUGUGUGCGCGCGCGCACGUGCAUGUGCGUGCUAGGCGUUUUCCUUUGUUGGUGACACCACCCCAGGCUACUACUGGUGUUGGGGCGCGGUGUUGCCACAGCCACUGCGGCCAGUGCGAUCCGUGUUUCAGGUCGUUGGUGGGUUUUAGAUUCCGCAAUUGUCGACAAGGUGUGCGCCGUGUGUGUGUGUGUGUGUGUGUGUGUGUGUGUGUGUGUGUGUGUGUGUGUGAAACCCGACAGCAUUGGUGUGAUGUUGUCCGAAGGGACAUCCAUCACUUACAUCUUGAAGGAUAUUGGUUCGACACUGCACAGCAGCGAGGAGAGUGGCGCACAGCAUUCAGAAUUGCUUCACCACCACAGCCGGCCUCCCGUGAUCGGAUUCAGUGUAGUAUUUGUAACAUUUCCUUUUCGAAGAGCGGCCUGCCAUGCCACAAGUGUACUCAAGAGCGUCGCAAACCUGUAGCAGACCAGUCUGGCAGCAGCCAAUGCACUGUAUGUCUUCGCUGGUUUCGCAGUCAUGGCAGACUGACAUAGUCGGAUUCGGCAGCUGGUUCAUGUGUGUGUGUGCGUACGCACGCGCGUGCCUGGGAGACUGCAUAGUCGCAUUCGGCAGCUGGUUCAUGUGUGUGUGCGGGCACACACGCAUGCGCAUAAGCGUGUUUGUGCGCACGUGCCUGGGAGACUGCAUAGUCGGAUUCGGCAGCUGGUUCAUGUGUGUGUGUGUGUGCGCACGCGCGCGCGCGCGUGUUUGUGUGGAUUCGGCAGCUGGUUCAUGUGUGUGUGUGUGCGAGCGUGCAUGCCUGGGAGACUGUAUAGUUGGAUUCGGCAGCUGGUUCGUGUGUGUGCGCGUGCCUGGGAGACUGCAUAGUCGGAUUAUUCAGCUGCUUCAAGUGUGUGUGUGUGUGUGUGUGUGUGUGUGUGUGCGCACGCGUGUGGGUGCGCCGCGGCAUGCAUGCAUGUAUGUAUGUGACAUCAUGUUAUAUCGGUAGUUAUCUGUGGAUUACUAUGUUCUGCGGUGGACUGCGACAGCACACAUUAUGUGCCAAGAUGUGCACCUGGUGAUUUGCAACUGUGUUAUGUUGAGUUGAAAAUGAGCAAUGACAGAUAGCUUUUGGUGCUGUAUGAGUGUGUUAGGAAAUCAAUAGCCAAUUCCAACCUCUUGCAUUGGCCGUCAGGUUGGAUAGGAUCAGCGCGUGCAUUUACAACAGUGUGGUGACGUACUUCCUAUUGUACUACUGUAAUGUCACAUUAGCUUCAGUGUUCAUAUAAUAAUAAUACUGGAGUAUUCUACGUAUUCACUACUAUUCAGUAAUCGAGUGGUUAUUACUUUUGAAAUAUACUUCACUCACCAA